UGGUCUGAGUGCAAUUUACAACCAAUUGAUCACAACCAGUUAUACAUUUCUUUGUUCUUCUCCAUUUUCACUGCUUCACUUGGCUAACCUUAA
Molecule: Y RNA, 93 nt
Filed under: Homo sapiens (human)
Lineage: Eukaryota; Metazoa; Chordata; Mammalia; Primates; Hominidae
Description: Y RNA (ENSG00000201075.2)
Rfam family: Y RNA
About the family: Y RNAs are components of the Ro ribonucleoprotein particle (Ro RNP), in association with Ro60 and La proteins. The Y RNAs and Ro60 and La proteins are well conserved, but the function of the Ro RNP is not known.
Source: RNAcentral